Molecule: ribosomal RNA, 468 nt
Filed under: uncultured bacterium
Lineage: Bacteria
Description: partial 16S ribosomal RNA
Rfam family: Bacterial small subunit ribosomal RNA
Source: RNAcentral
GACGAACGCUGGCGGCGUGCUUAACACAUGCAAGUCGAACGGAAAGGCCCUGCUUUUGUGGGGUGCUCGAGUGGCGAACGGGUGAGUAACACGUGAGUAACCUGCCCUUUACUUUGGGAUAACUUCAGGAAACUGGGGCUAAUACCGGAUAGGAGCUCCUGCUGCAUGGUGGGGGUUGGAAAGUUUCGGCGGUUGGGGAUGUACUCGCGGCUUAUCAGCUUGUUGGUGGGGUAGUGGCUUACCAAGGCUUUGACGGGUAGCCGGCCUGAGAGGGUGACCGGCCACAUUGGGACUGAGAUACGGCCCAGACUCCUACGGGAGGCAGCAGUGGGGAAUAUUGCACAAUGGGCGGAAGCAUGAUGCAGCAACGCCGCGUGCGGGAUGACGGCCUUCGGGUUGUAAACCGCUUUCGCCUGUGACGAAGCGUGAGUGACGGUAAUGGGUAAAGAAGCACCGGCUAACUACGUG